UCUUUGUUAAUUAUAGAGAAAUUGUGGGAAAAACAGAAACACAACACGUACAGAAAAAAGAAAAAAGCCGAGAAAGGAUUAGCCCAAUCUCCUCAGUUUAGGCCUAACGGCCCACACCAUGCAUCUAGUGAUUUCUUUAUGAUUUGAUUUUGGAUUUCUUGUGCUUUAGUUUGUGGAAGUCGACCCAACUCUUCUUCUGCGUUCGGUUUGUUGUUGUUCUUGUUGUACGUUUAUAUGGACAUUGUAUUGCAAACUUCUCUGGUGUUGCAAAUAAAAAUGUCUGAAAAAAGUAUCACAAAUCCUACUUCCCACACCCACAUUGUUUACCCUUAUGUAUCUCUCACCAUGUACUCAUGUCAUCAGACCACCUGCGUGUUAUAUGGUUUCUCAUGGAGACAAAAUCGGAGCAAUGGUAAAAAAAUGGUCAAUCAACUCGCUUUGAACAUCACAAAUUGGGCAAAUUAAGAAGGGAAUCAACACCAAUCCUUCUUGUAUCCAUGUUUGUUCUAGCCGACACCUUGUUUAAAAUCUAUCUCAAAUGAGAUGUUUACUUUGAUCGAGACUAUAUUCUUCCAUCUAGUUGGAUUGCCCCCAUGAUGAAAGUACUUUUGGAUCAGCAAGUGAUUCUUUAGGAUUACAAAGCUUGUAAAAUUCUGCAUCAAUGCUACACAAGUUAUACAGUAAUCCUUCGAGGUAACUACGAAGAGGACAUCUACCUCUCGUUGGCUCACUUUUGAUGUUGUUGCAAGUAUUAAGGAUCCGGAAGCAAAGAUAGUUGAUAGUCAUAUUUACGCUUGCGAUUAUUAAUUUUUAUUGGAGGUCAUUUUAGCAUGUCUCUAUGUUAACAGUUUGAAAUGCACAUCAAAUGUUCGAUGAAAUGCCCGAACAAUAUCUUCUUUGGUGAUGGAUGUGAUCAAAUGAGGUUCACAUAACAAAGUAAGAUCUAUUGGAAUAAAUUUGAAGUAAAAGAAAAACGAAGAACACGUUGAUAUUGCUGAUCAACCAAACACGUUGUCUGACGUUGAUAUUGCAGACCCUACUAGAAUAUCUCAACAAUUUGAUCCACAAAGUGUGGGGGUUGAUUACCAUAAACUUCUUCCACUAUUUAUGAGCUGCAAGUGCCAAAAUUACUUGAACCAUCUCAAACCGAGCAACAGGAGCUGGAGGAGUUUAAAUGAAAAGUUGGAAAAUUGAGGUGGGGAGUUUAUGUAACAACAUGGAUCCACCCAUGUCAUUAGUGCCUUUUUUAUAUAUUAUAAAUAACUAGAAAUUGCCCUCUCCCUGCUUCGCAGACAAGGUUUUGCUUACUAUGUUCUAGUCAUACAAAUGGAAAGUACUAUUAUAAAUCGUUUUAUCAUUUUGUGUGCACUCUUUGGGGGGAUCAAACUUGCCCAUGUAGGAAAGUUUAGGACCAAACCUGCAAAAUUUCUAUUAGGUAGAGACUAUUUUUGUAACUUUUGUAAACAUAUAGACCGUUUCUGUAAAAAAAUAUACAAUGACAUUUUCUGUAAAUUAUUGGGAAAUUUUUUGUAAUUUAGUUUCUAUACAGGGGCCAAACCU
This is a long non-coding RNA of Lactuca sativa (garden lettuce), 1560 nucleotides long. RefSeq lists it as uncharacterized. NCBI's taxonomy places the organism in Eukaryota, Viridiplantae, Streptophyta, Magnoliopsida, Asterales, Asteraceae. The record is from RefSeq and is a predicted model, not a curated record.